Molecule: ribosomal RNA, 478 nt
Filed under: uncultured bacterium
Lineage: Bacteria
Description: partial 16S ribosomal RNA
Rfam family: Bacterial small subunit ribosomal RNA
Source: RNAcentral
GACGAACGCUGGCGGCGUGCUUAACACAUGCAAGUCGAACGGUAAGGCCCUUCGGGGUACACGAGUGGCGAGCGGGUGAGUAACACGUGGGUGAUCUGCCCUGCACUUCGGGAUAAGCCUGGGAAACUGGGUCUAAUACCGGAUAGGACCACUGCCUGCAUGGGUGGUGGUGGAAAGCUUUUGCGGUGUGGGAUGGGCCCGCGGCCUAUCAGCUUGUUGGUGGGGUGAUGGCCUACCAAGGCGACGACGGGUAGCCGGCCUGGGAGGGUGACCGGCCACACUGGGACUGAGAUACGGCCCAGACUCCUCCGGGAGGCAGCAGUGGGGAAUAUUGCACAAUGGGCGCAAGCCUGAUGCAGCGACGCCGCGUGAGGGAUGACGGCCUUCGGGUUGUAAACCUCUUUCAGCUAUGACGAAGCGCAAGUGACGGUAGUAGCAGAAGAAGGACCGGCCAACUACGUGCCAGCAGCCGCGGUAA